UCUCCGUAGGUGAACCUGCGGAGGGAUCAUUACUGAGUGAGGGUUUAACCGCCCGACCUCCAACCCUUUGUGAAUCGUACUCGUUGCUUCGGGGGCGACCCUGCCGGCACUACGUCGCCGGGCGCCCCCGAAGGUCUCCAAACACUGCAUCUUUGCGUCGGAGUUUAAACAAAUUAAACAAAACUUUCAACAACGGAUCUCUUGGUUCUGGCAUCGAUGAAGAACGCAGC
RNAcentral lists this unclassified non-coding RNA (230 nucleotides) under uncultured fungus. RNAcentral's name for it is "sequence contains ITS1, 5.8S rRNA gene". The stretch from base 182 to 230 matches the Rfam family "5.8S ribosomal RNA", at positions 1 to 49 of the family's 154-position model. Lineage: Eukaryota; Fungi. The record is from RNAcentral.